GGGUCGGCGAGCAGCCGGAUUUCAUCCGAAACAAGGGACCCCUGUUUCGGUCCUCUUCCACCGAGCAUUGCCGCAGCCGACCGCCGGUUUUGGCCAGGGAUGCGGCCGCCUGUGGCCGGUGUCGGGUGAGCGCCUGGGCCACCGCGGCUGCCACCUACUUCCGACGAAAGCAAAGGAGGAAGAGAAGGGCCGAGCCCUUCAUUCUUUCCUCUAUUCUCUUUCCCAUUUUCUUCCGUCCAGCCGACCUCUGUCGCCAUCAAUGUCUCUGGUCCGGCCGUCCUCACCAGGGCCGGAUUGCUAUGGGCCGCCAACCAGGGGUUCGUCCAUGGCGUUUUGACAGGGAGAGGGGGGAGAUGUCUCGCUAUUUGAGAAGAGGAGAAGGCUUUAUCUGUAAGUGUGCGUGCAGAGGGUUAAGCAUGAAUUUCAGAAAAUUUUAUGAGGAAAGAACGGGUUAAACAUUUUAACCCAUAACAUGCUUGAUAUUUUAGAUAUUUUGACUCUGGUACUAGUCGAAGACAGUCUUCAACUGCAUAUCACAUGUGGCGCGGGCUCAGUCCCAAUACAUAGGGUGACACCCGUGCGUGCCU
RNAcentral lists this long non-coding RNA (587 nucleotides) under Phoenix dactylifera (date palm). RNAcentral describes it as "long non-coding RNA (PDAC_LNC020803)". Lineage: Eukaryota; Viridiplantae; Streptophyta; Magnoliopsida; Arecales; Arecaceae. The record is from RNAcentral.